Molecule: small RNA, 27 nt
Filed under: Bombyx mori (domestic silkworm)
Lineage: Eukaryota; Metazoa; Arthropoda; Insecta; Lepidoptera; Bombycidae
Description: ovarian small RNA-19540
Source: RNAcentral
UAAUACGAUGAGCUUGAUGUAAGCGAC